CCCACUGCUCUCUUUAAUGGUUCAGGGAUGUUUUAGAAUCUAUGUUUAUGGUUUGUGUAGGUCCAGGUAAAUGCUCUGUGGUCUAGUUUGUAUAUGCAGUGUUUUUGCGUAGGUCCAGGUAAAUGCUCUGUGGUCUAGUUUGUAUAUGCAGUGUUUUUGUGUAGGUCCAGGUAAAUGCUGUGGUCUAGUUUGUAUAUGCAGUGUUUUUGUGUAGGUCCAGGUAAAUGCUGUGGUCUAGUUUGUAUAUGCAGUGUUUUCAUGUAGGUCCAGGUAAAUGCUGUGGUCUAGUUUGUAUAUGCAGUGUUUGUGUAAGUCCAGGUAAAUGCUGUCUGUGUGUUUAUGAUGUCAUAGUGAAUGUUAGAAACUAGGACGUGACUUGAUGGUGUUUUGUUAGGUCUAUGUCACAGUGUAGUUUGUAUUUUACAUGUAUCAUGACAAAUGUUAGUUUGUGGUUUGUGUACGUUAACUGGGUGUGUG
This is a long non-coding RNA of Oncorhynchus keta (chum salmon), 477 nucleotides long. RefSeq lists it as uncharacterized. NCBI's taxonomy places the organism in Eukaryota, Metazoa, Chordata, Actinopteri, Salmoniformes, Salmonidae. The transcript is spliced from 3 exons. The record is from RefSeq and is a predicted model, not a curated record.